UUGUCCUUCUUUUCUUAUUAA
RNAcentral lists this non-coding RNA (21 nucleotides) under Caenorhabditis elegans. The record is from RNAcentral. Lineage: Eukaryota; Metazoa; Nematoda; Chromadorea; Rhabditida; Rhabditidae.